GCUGGCCGGCCGGCCCGGCAGGAUUAACGCGCUGGCAGCUGAAAGGAACUUGUACCAGCACCCCGCGUUGCCUAGUCAACACGUUGUACCAUCAGAAGAGUGGUUUUCAGUGGUUCUGCUUCUGCCAACAGCGGCUGAAUGAAGCCUAUCCUCAGGGGCGGAUCUAGAACGGGGCUGCACCCCGGGCUAAGCUGUUGAAUCACGUCCAAAACAGUCUAAUCUUGUCUCCUAAACUUCAUUUUGUUAGGCUAAACACCACAUAUGUUAAAGGGACUCCAUGGUCUCGCCUCGGGCUGCAGUCCGGGCAGCCCGGGCCCUAGAUCCGCCCCUGCCUAUCCUAAUCUUAGGUUAUGGAGUCUGUUUAGCUCAGUUGUGGAUAUUGGUGUAUGUUAAAGCUACCUGAAUUUUAGUCGUCUUCUUCGAUGCAAAUUUGGGUACACGUUUUUACCAAAAUGUAGCUACAUAUAUAGUGUGUGUU
Molecule: long non-coding RNA, 478 nt
Filed under: Setaria italica (foxtail millet)
Lineage: Eukaryota; Viridiplantae; Streptophyta; Magnoliopsida; Poales; Poaceae
Description: long non-coding RNA (SITA_LNC005060)
Source: RNAcentral